This 489-nucleotide ribosomal RNA is filed under the name uncultured bacterium. RNAcentral's name for it is "bacterial SSU rRNA". It matches the Rfam family "Bacterial small subunit ribosomal RNA", at positions 393 to 876 of the family's 1533-position model. The record is from RNAcentral.
AAUACCGCGUGUGUGAAGAACGCUUAGGUUUGUAAAGCACUUUCAAUUGGAAGGAAAAACUCAUGGCCAAUACCCGUGAGCUUGACAUUACCUUUAGAAGAAGCACCGGCUAACUCCGUGCCAGCAGCCGCGGUAAUACGGAGGGUGCAAGCGUUAAUCGGAAUUACUGGGCGUAAAGCGUGCGUAGGCGGCUCGCUAAGUCAGAUGUGAAAGCCCCGGGCUCAACCUGGGAACGGCAUUUGAAACUGGCAAGCUAGAGUUUAGGAGAGGAGAGUGGAAUUUCAGGUGUAGCGGUGAAAUGCGUAGAGAUCUGAAGGAACACCAGUGGCGAAGGCGACUCUCUGGCCUAAAACUGACGCUGAGGUACGAAAGCGUGGGUAGCAAACAGGAUUAGAUACCCUGGUAGUCCACGCCGUAAACGAUGUCAACUAGCCGUUGGCUCUCUUAGAGAGUUAGUGGCGCAGCUAACGCAUUAAGUUGACCGCCUGG